UUAUUUUAUCCUUGAUCCUUUGGAUCAACCCUUGUUUUGUCUGCUCCAUGCUUGAUACGGAAUCGAAGCCAGCGAUUGCUGGAUCUUUCAAAAAUAAUAAUAUUAUACCCCAGAUUAGUUUAGAGGAGAUCACUUGCGUGACUGCACAAAUUACUAGGCAAAAUACAAGGCGGCAAGAUAUUUGACUUAGCUAUUGAUUACUGCGAGUGAAUUAAGAAUUUCCUUGCCACCAAUAGUGGAAAGAUCAGAAGGAGUAAUUUAAACAGCAAGUCAAGGGUGACGCAGGACACACGUUGCACUUACCCCCUCCCACAGACAUAAGAAGUUUAGCCGACUUCUUUUUGUCUCUUCUUUUGCGACGAAAAUUUUAGCGAGACCUUCUCAGGGUGAUCAAUCAAUCAGGCCCCAAUAUUCCAUUCAGCAAGUGAUGACAAGCAGGGCCAAGAAAAAUUCUGCAGUAUGAUAUCAGCAAUGUGGAGCUGCUUUCACCUUUCUCAAGACCCUGCAGUCACCGGUGGUGGUUAGCGUCGGCAAGUUGCAAAUGGACAUCUGAAUUCCUAAGCAACCAUCGACUUCAGAGGCAGCAGGAGACAAGGACGAUUUCAGCACAGGCGUACUACUAGCUUUAUUCCAUCCAAUUGAAUAGAAAACAUCAGAUUACACAAAACUUGUCCAAUAGAAACAUUCAAGAUUCCCUCGCCCUUCUUUUUCCUCCCCUACAUUAUAGACAUAAAAGGUUAUUCAUAAAGGGCCAGCACUACGCCGAGAAGUGCUGAAAAAUGUGUGGGGGGUGUGAGGGUGCAACAACCAUCUGCUAUGCAGAUAUUAUAGUUUAUCGAGGAAUUAACAACGAUGGGUGAGAAAGUUACAGACGGAAAAACAUUAUUGAAAAGGAAAGCAAACCACCAAGGCGCUAUGCUAAUGGCUUUAUGGCCUUCAUCGAAUGGCAGUUGAUAGCUCACACCGAGAUGCCAACAGUAAUACACCUCCCCCCCUCUCCCCUGAAAUAUUUAUUUAUCUGGACUGCAUACCUUAUGUGCUUCCAACUGCAGCACACACAAGUACAGAGGGGUCCUCCUCGAAGAAGCUCAUGAUACCUCCUCUUGCUUAUGCUCGGAUAAAAGGCUCAUGAUGCCUUAGCUUCCAGACUUCGUCUUCCCCGAGGAUCGCAGAGGCGCAGCUAUAGAGGACAGGCUCUGGCGCUGGCAUGCAUCGACACCAAGGAUAAGAUCUACGAGAUGGCCAUGGCUGGUCCAGCUUGCAGAUUUCUCUCGUGUUUUCUGUGUUUUGUAGCAUGUCUUAUCGUUAUGGAGUCUGCUUUGUCUGCCCAUUCAUGGUGCACCCCACAUCCCAACCCGAGGGGAGAAGCGGAGUUUAAGCAGAAGACAGACAAGUUUUGGGAGUACCAGGAGCAGAGCAAUACCUGGGUGGAAAUAAGCAUGCCUUUCAAUCUCAUGUCCUGUAUCAACGGCACCUGCACAAAGGUAGGCUCGAUCAAGCAACCAGAAAGCAAACAUGGCCGUGCUUCCGUCUCGAGUCAAGAGAAGGAUACUGAUCCAGUCCUGCCCAUAAGGAAAAGAAUCUCCCUGGCAAGGAUGUCAGAGUCGUCCGUGUGGGUCACAGGGCAGAGCGGAUCAAUCUAUGAGAGGUUCUGGAACGGGGUCAUGUGGGUGAUUGCUCCUCAUGAGCUUCCAACGGCGGCUGGGUAUGCAACAGCAACUUUCAUCGUCAACACAACCAUCCUUGCUCUGUCCGAGGCUGGAAUCCUCUACCAGGUAAGCAUAUCAUCUACUAACAGUCAGUAGUUCUUCUAGCUUAUUCAGACUUAGGGUUAUAAUCUUCUACAGCAGCUCAUAUCACUGAGCUUACUGUCUCUCGCAAAGAUCACCCUUGCAUCUUUCUUGAACUGUUUGAGAUCUUUAAUGGAACAGUAGCUUAUACUUUUUUCUUUUGAGGAAUAGUAGGUGAUACUUUAUGCCCGAAAGAAAAAAGUAUUUCGCCAUGAAACUUUGCAGACAAGUACUAUAUAUCCAUAUGUAUAUUUGUAUUUUUUCAGAAAUUUUUAUACCUAAAAAUUUGAUUUUUGAUUUUUUUUUGAAAAAAAGGCUCCAUGGAGCUCGAGCUCAGUUAGCAAUUUCCGUUUUAACAACAUAAAUAAAUCCGGUUUACUUCCAUUACUUGUACAGAUUGUGUCAUUCGAAACAAAACUUGUAUGUAGUGACUUUAGUACAACCAGAACUUAACGAUGUUGAGAAAAGACAGCGGAGAUAGUCAUAGAGAGUGAAGGAAAAUAUACAGGAGAAGUCAAACAGAAAUGUAUGUAACACAGGAACACUAGUUGCAUACCCAAUGUUAUAACUGGACCAAUGAAGGAAAUUAACUCCUGCUAGGUAAGGUUAAAAUAAUGUUCAGAAUUUGUGUAAUAUGUAUCCAUUAGUAAGCCACCAAUGGAAUUAUGAUUAGACUGUCCUGUUUUUUUAUCCUUCUAAAAAGACUUCAGGUCAUUCUAUUUGCAUAUCUGAAGUAUCUGAUAUAUAACAUGAAGAUGUGAUACGAUUCAGAAUGAACUUAUCUAUCCUAUCCAGCAAAGCAUAAAUCCUAUAUCGUCAAGUGAAAUAGACUUCUGCAUGAAUUCAGUUGCAAACAAAUUAGUCGCUGUAAGCUUUUCAGUUUUCGGUUUUUCCCCCUUGUAAGACCCCUGCCAUCUCGGCGUUUUCUUCUAAUACUGCCCAUUCAAGAAAAAAAGAAGUUGCUAUUAUGCUUUCACUCUAAUAGUUCUACUCUACAUCUUUUCAGCUACAGCUAAAUGAACAUGCCCAGCCUAUCUGGACUGAGAUGACAUUCAGCUAUGAACAACAUUUCACAAACCUUGAAGAGAAGACACAAAGUCAAGCUACACACAUAAAAAAUGGGGUCGUAUCACAUAAUGGAAGGUGAAUAUCUGCCCUAAUGCUUCCUUGUAAGGUUCAUCUGCGCAUAAAAUGCGGGUAUCUAGUCAAUUUGGAAUUACCAACAAACAAUGGUUGAAAGAACUUAUUCUUUCUCAAUCAGGAAACUUUUCCUUUCUAUCACGAAUGGGUCCCUAAUUGAGGUCACAGAACUUCAGCCUCUAAGGUAUGAGUCAGCACAACUCAACUUCAUCCUCUUGCAUGUUUGUAAUAUCUUGCUCAAAAUUCAAACGUAAACCACAGAAAAGAAACCCACCAAAAGCUUUCACAUAUGACUAUUUGUUGUUGCUGACUUAAAAUAUAGUGGAUCAAUACACAUGUAAUUUAAUAUGUAGAUAAAUCUGGCGAUCAUAUUUGAUCUUGGUAUAGAUAUUUUGAUCCUCUUUCCAGGAAGUGGUAUUUACACACAAAAAUCAGUAGAAAAGGCGAAUAUUUAUAAGUUAUUUAUGUGCUGGACCCACAUUAUAAUAGUAAAAAUAACUCAGGGGGUCGAGUAGAUGUUCCUAUUAUAAUAUUGUGAGUCACAGGUAUAAAGGCCUACUGUUGAGCAGGUUGCAACCUCUUCUAUUUAUUUCUCUGCUUUGAACUUUAAAAUUCUAAUACAAGGUUAAAUGCGUAUAUGGGGCCAAUGAUGUGUGUUCCAUCAUUAGUUAUGUAUAUCCUGAAAUACUAUAUUCAUGGAAAAUGUGUUCAAAAGAAAUAUUAGCUAUAUUACAUACUUUAAGAGAUCCAUAAUUACUUAAAACACGAUGGCAUGGUAGAAUAAAGGGCUGAUGAUUUUAAGAUAUUCUUUUCCUGACUAGAAAAUGCCAACAGUGUUUUUGAAGUUUUCGCAGAAGGUUUGGUUAACUGAAUGAAUAAAAAUAAUUUGCAGAAUUUCCUAUAACCUAUUUAUAGAAAUCACACUAUUUGCAACUUCUUUUAUCACUACUACCAUGGCUUCAAAUGAAAUAAUGGUUGAAUGCUACUGCUGCAUAGGUGGAAUUGCCAUGGGCGUCCCCCAGGAGCAGAUGUAUCAUAUAUAUCUGAUGCUGAAAAUGCAAGACCAGGGACCUUGUUCACAGUAAGGUAUGUUUAGCAUGUGCAUUUGAGGAUAUGAGGGGGUGGGUGGGGGUUGGGGGUACCUUUUCAACCUACCCUAGAAGGAAAAGAUUUGUUCGGUGAAGUCUCAGUUUGCUCCUAUACUGGUCAAUGACUGAAACAAAAGGGUUCAAGGAAUAUCAAACGUAUUCCUCCAACUUUCCGUAACAUAGUUUCUACCCAUAUCUCAGUCGUUCCAUUAAACAUAAUUAGGAGGACAAGUUAAACAAUAAAUAUAUCAACUUUCUCGUACAAGACAACGCUAUACUCAUUUAUGCUGUUAGUUCAAGAUUUGAUAUACUGUUGAUGCACACCAAUGCUAACAUGGGAUAAUGCAGUGCAGUUCUACUGGAGACCUAUAUGAAUUUGAUAAGGAAACGAAGCCAUCAUGGAAAAAGCAUAUAUGGAGUGAACAAACAACCAAAAAUGUCUCGCUGAGCUCAUCUGUUGGGUGUGCUUUGCAUGGUCUCUUAGGCUCUAAUUCAGUAUCACUCUUUCUGAUAACCAAGGUAUGUAAGAAUCUGUAUUAUCAUAAGCAAUUUAUUGCUGGAUUAAAGCUAACAAGGCAACAUUACCCAUUUGCAUAUUAUGCAUUUCAAAGGUGAACUCGCUUUUUAUGAUUUGGGAACAAUAUAUGGUGUGUUCCUGAUAACUAUGAUGGUUCUAAGUUAACCAUAACAGUGCAACAAGUAUCAUCCACACAGUUGAACAGAAACUAACAACAAGCUUUAUCGACUAACUAUAGAUAAUUUGAAAAGAAAAGAACUACAAAAAAAAGUUUGCUAGCUAUUGUAGUAUGAUUUUGUCAUGUCUAUGACCCUAGGGAUUCUGAUCCAUUAAAAUAACAUUUAUUUUGUGAUAUAUUCAGUUGUUAAAGGUGUUUAUAGAUUGGCAGGAUGGUCUUUUAGUGGAGCGGCGCUUGCAUAGAAGAAAGUGGAAGUGGGAUAAACAUGGAGCACCUAAGGGUCAAAGACUAAGUUCAAUUACAGAAGUUCAACAGGAUGAAUCUAAUGAUGCGACUUCAAUGUUUUUUACAACAACCACAGGAAAAGUAUUUGAGUAUCAGUUUCCAAAAUAUACAGGUGGAAACUCCUUCCUUAGACUUUGGACAUCUUUAUUCUUUUGUGACUGAGGUCAUCAAAGCAAUGUAUAUAGCUAGUAGCUUUCAUUACUUGCUUGAUAAAGCUUUAAUAAAUUGCUAAGUGGAUAAGUGUAUCGCUAUGAUUGGCUAUAAGUCUCAGAAUUCAAGUUACACUAUGCUGGAAAACAAGAUGAAUUUGAAGGAACUUCACAUAGCAGAACAAUUUACGUAAUUAUAUUGAAUUGUUCCUGGAGUCGAAAGAUAAAAAUGAACCAUAGUUAUGAAUAUGCUAGUUCAAGAUAGGAUGUCCUUCAAGUAAAGUGAAUCAGCAGCAAUAAACUCUUCUUUAAGCCCAUAUGCCGCACUCAGGUCAUGAUACGAUGUUGUAUACUAUUCUUUUGUCAGCAAUAAACAUGACAUACUCUCAACUUCUCGCCUAGGACCAUAUCAUUGCAUGUAAUCUUUUCUGAACAAAAUACCAAUCGAUUCAAUUCUUACUACAGCAAUUCUUUAAGUUCCAAGAAGAAACUAAGUUGACAUUGUUUAUCUUCUCCAUUGGACAAGGUGGGGCUUCAAGCAAUAAGAUUAGAGGACUAUGGGUAAAUCACAUGUCUCCUGACCAUGCAAAAGUAGCAGCAAGUGUUCGAGGUCUACAGAUUCAAGUUGGCAGAUUGAUAUUCCAGCUAGAUGAUGGUAGGCUUGGAGAGCUACAUUUACCUGGCAUGGGAGGUGGUCAUUUUGGUCCAAGUCAACAAAAUAGCAUAAGAAGGAAAGUGCCAAACAAGUAUGAGUGGUCUAUCCUAGAUACACCAGAAACAGAAGGUUGGAAUGCAGAAUAUUGCACUGAAGAGCAUGGCCCUACAAACUGUAUUACUGGAGCGAUGAAUGUAGCUGCAGAUACGGAACCAACCAACCUGAGCAAUGCCC
RNAcentral lists this long non-coding RNA (6036 nucleotides) under Triticum aestivum (bread wheat). RNAcentral describes it as "long non-coding RNA (TAES_LNC025504)". Lineage: Eukaryota; Viridiplantae; Streptophyta; Magnoliopsida; Poales; Poaceae. The record is from RNAcentral.